GUAGGGUGCGAGCGUUGUCCGGAAUUAUUGGGCGUAAAGGGCUCGUAGGCGGUCUGUCGCGUCGGGAGUGAAAACUCAGGGCUUAACCCUGAGCCUGCUUCCGAUACGGGCAGACUAGAGGUAUGCAGGGGAGAACGGAAUUCCUGGUGUAGCGGUGAAAUGCGCAGAUAUCAGGAGGAACACCAGUGGCGAAGGCGGUUCUCUGGGCAUUACCUGACGCUGAGGAGCGAAAGUGUGGGGAGCGAACAGGAUUAGAUACCCUGGUAGUCCACACCGUAAACGUUGGGCGCUAGGUGUGGGACUCAUUCCACGAGUUCCGUGCCGCAGCUAACGCAUUAAGCGCCCCGCCUGGGGAGUACGGCCGCAAGGCUA
RNAcentral lists this ribosomal RNA (372 nucleotides) under uncultured bacterium. RNAcentral's name for it is "bacterial SSU rRNA". It matches the Rfam family "Bacterial small subunit ribosomal RNA", at positions 527 to 896 of the family's 1533-position model. The record is from RNAcentral.